Molecule: ribosomal RNA, 495 nt
Filed under: uncultured bacterium
Lineage: Bacteria
Description: partial 16S ribosomal RNA
Rfam family: Bacterial small subunit ribosomal RNA
Source: RNAcentral
GACGAACGCUGGCGGCGUGCCUAAUACAUGCAAGUAGAACGCUGAAGGAGGAGCUUGCUUCUCUGGAUGAGUUGCGAACGGGUGAGUAACGCGUAGGUAACCUGCCUGGUAGCGGGGGAUAACUAUUGGAAACGAUAGCUAAUACCGCAUAAGAGUAGAUGUUGCAUGACAUUUGCUUAAAAGGUGCAAUUGCAUCACUACCAGAUGGACCUGCGUUGUAUUAGCUAGUUGGUGGGGUAACGGCUUACCAAGGCGACGAUACAUAGCCGACCUGAGAGGGGGAUCGGCCACACUGGGACUGAGACACGGCCCAGACUCCUACGGGAGGCAGCAGUAGGGAAUCUUCGGCAAUGGACGGAAGUCUGACCGAGCAACGCCGCGUGAGUGAAGAAGGUUUUCGGAUCGUAAAGCUCUGUUGUAAGAGAAGAACGAGUGUGAGAGUGGAAAGUUCACACUGUGACGGUAUCUGACCAGAAAGGGACGGCUAACUACGUG